UACCAGCACCCCGAGUGGUCGGGACGAUUAUUGGGCCUAAAGCAUCCGUAGCUGGUUCUACAAGUCUUCCGUUAAAUCCACCUGCUCAACAGAUGGGCUGCGGAGGAUACUAUAGAGCUAGGAGGCGGGAGAGGCAAGCGGUACUUAGUGGGUAGGGGUAAAAUCCGUUGAUCCAUUGAAGACCACCAGUGGCGAAGGCGGCUUGCCAGAACGCACUCGACGGUGAGGGAUGAAAGCUGGGGGAGCAAACCGG
RNAcentral lists this ribosomal RNA (253 nucleotides) under uncultured bacterium. Its description in RNAcentral is "partial 16S ribosomal RNA". It matches the Rfam family "Archaeal small subunit ribosomal RNA", at positions 474 to 727 of the family's 1478-position model. The record is from RNAcentral.